AAAUUAAUUAGAAAGAAAACAAUAGUUCCUUUAUUGAAUUCAAUUCCACCCCAAAGUGUCAACCAAAAAAUUUAUUCGGCUCUUGCAACAGUUGCUCACCGGAUUUUUUUUCUAGAAUAACACAACAUAUGGCCUUACCAUAUUUCUUGUAUAAAACAUGAACUGAAGAACAACCACGAUCCAAUAUAUCGCAACAAUGAGAAGCCAUGGAGUUCAAGAAAAGAAUUAUGACGAGAUUAGUUUUCGAUUUUCAUUUCCAGAGACAGUGGAAUGAACUGUUAUCCUUUUGUAAAGUUCAAAAAACUUUUUCAGUAUUCCAUUAAUAGCAAAGAGUCCAGUAAGGUUAGUAUUCACUUUGUUAUUGCAAAUAACCACAAAGCACGAUAAAAAAAAAUUGAACUUCACAAAAUGUAAAAUUCGCACAAUCAAAAUGUUAAGAUACACUAUUAACCAUGUAAUUUGUGUUAUAAUAUUAUAUUUUCAUCCCAUGUAAACAUUAUUUAUUAUAUUAAUAGAAUCUUUAUUUAAAUAAAUCAUUGUGUUAACAUGUGUGUCCUUUGCUUAUAUAGUAGACAAUUUUGUGUAUAGAGUAUUUUAACUCACGCGCGAAAAAUUAAAAUUGUCGGUUCUUACAAGUAAUAAAUUAACAUACACAAUCAAAGAUGAGGUAGAACAAACAUGUAGCACAAGAUUAAAUAUAAUUUGAUCUUAAUUAUGGGAGUGGUAAUAUUCCAACUUCUUGUGCUAGUACAUUUCGUAUGUAUUGAACGGACCAAUUAGAGAUAUUCGUUUAUAUUCUGAAUAUUAAUAAACGAUUUCUCUAGUCCAUUGCAUGUACUUAUACUCUUAAUCUUGAUAUAAUUAUUAUGAUCUAUAUGAUUUGUUUUGUCAUUUUAAUCUAUUAAAAGAUGAGACUCUUUUGUGAGUCAACAUAUUCCUGAUAGGUUGGAUGAUGACGAAUUACUUAGUGAAAUAUUAAUUAGUUGAUAGAACCAUGUUUUGAACUUGAGAUAGAAGACACCCCUUUAUGGUUGCUUAUAAGUUUUCACGUGAAAAUCCUGCAGGUCGAUUUUGUAUCCGUCAUGUGGAAUAAGUUAAGCAUUAUAAAUAAAGGAUUAAAUUAAUUAAUGAGUUAAAUUUUUCAGAAAAUUUAAAAUUUAUUGAUUAGUGUCGGUUAUUCUAACAUGGGGAGUUAAAUAAGAUGUAAUGGUAGAUUUCGAAAUUAAAAUCAAAGAGUGCAAUUACAAAUUUUUAGUGGAAUAAUUUAUAAUUUAUUAUGAUAUGAUAAUAAUAAAUAGAAGUCUUGACGAGUGCAUUUAUAUGGCACAACCAGAAGGUUUCAUGGAAAGUGGUAAUGAACGUAAGUUUUGUAAACUUAAGAAAUCCAUUUAUGGUUUGAAACAAGCAUCUAUAGCAUGGAAUACUUGUUUUGAUAAUUCGAUUAAGACUUUUAAUUUUGAUCAAUGUGAAAAUGAGUCAUGCAUUUAUAAAAAAUGGGAUGGAGAUAGAGUAACAUUUUUUAUUCUGUACAUAGAUGAUAUUUUGCUCAUAGGAAAUAAUGUGAGCAUGUUGAAUUCUGUUAAGGAGUGGCUGUCCUCACAUUUUGAUAUGAAAGACUUAGGAGAAGCG
RNAcentral lists this long non-coding RNA (1629 nucleotides) under Capsicum annuum. Its description in RNAcentral is "long non-coding RNA (CANN_LNC015584)". The record is from RNAcentral. Lineage: Eukaryota; Viridiplantae; Streptophyta; Magnoliopsida; Solanales; Solanaceae.